GAUGAACGCUGGCGGCGUGCCUAAUGCAUGCAAGUCGAGCGAACAGACGAGGAGCUUGCUCCUCUGACGUUAGCGGCGGACGGGUGAGUAACACGUGGAUAACCUACCUAUAAGACUGGGAUAACUUCGGGAAACCGGAGCUAAUACCGGAUAACAUGUUGAACCACAUGGUUCAACAGUGAAAGACGGUCUUGCUGUCACUUAUAGAUGGAUCCGCGCCGCAUUAGCUAGUUGGUAAGGUAACGGCUUACCAAGGCAACGAUGCGUAGCCGACCUGAGAGGGUGAUCGGCCACACUGGAACUGAGACACGGUCCAGACUCCUACGGGAGGCAGCAGUAGGGAAUCUUCCGCAAUGGGCGAAAGCCUGACGGAGCAACGCCGCGUGAGUGAAGAAGGUCUUCGGAUCGUAAAACUCUGUUAUUAGGGAAGAACAAAUGUGUAAGUAACUAUGCACGUCUUGACGGUACCUAAUCAGAAAGCCACGGCUAACUACGUG
This 497-nucleotide ribosomal RNA is filed under the name uncultured bacterium. RNAcentral describes it as "partial 16S ribosomal RNA". It matches the Rfam family "Bacterial small subunit ribosomal RNA", at positions 28 to 507 of the family's 1533-position model. The record is from RNAcentral.